RNAcentral lists this ribosomal RNA (460 nucleotides) under uncultured bacterium. RNAcentral's name for it is "partial 16S ribosomal RNA". It matches the Rfam family "Bacterial small subunit ribosomal RNA", at positions 338 to 795 of the family's 1533-position model. The record is from RNAcentral.
CCUACGGGAGGCAGCAGUGAGGAAUAUUUGUCAAUGGGCUUACGCCUGAACCAGCCAAGUCGCGUGAGGGAAGACUGCCCUAUGGGUUGUAAACCUCUUUUGUCAGGGAGCAAUUGGCGCUACGUGUAGCGUUAUCGAGAGUACCUGCAGAAAAAGCAUCGGCUAACUCCGUGCCAGCAGGCGCGGUAAUACGGGGUAUGCGAGCGUUAUCCGGAUUGAUUGGGUUUAAAGGGUGUGUAGGCGGAAUGCCAAGUCAGCGGUAAAAUCGCGGGGCUCAACCUCGCUCCGCCGUUGAAACUGGCGUUCUUGAGUGGGCGAGAAGUAUGCGGAAUGCGUGGUGUAGCGGUGAAAUGCAUAGAUAUCACGCAGAACUCCGAUUGCGAAGGCAGCAUACCGGCGCCCAACUGACGCUGAAGCACGAAGGCGUGGGUAUCGAACAGGAUUAGAUACCCGUGUAGUC